GCCUUGGUGGUGUAAUGGUUAUCAUGGGGCCCUGUCGAGGCCCCGAUCCGGGUUCAAUCCCCGGCCAGGGCG
This 72-nucleotide transfer RNA is filed under the name archaeon. RNAcentral describes it as "tRNA-Asp". It matches the Rfam family "tRNA". From Rfam's summary of the family: Transfer RNA (tRNA) molecules are approximately 80 nucleotides in length. Their secondary structure includes four short double-helical elements and three loops (D, anti-codon, and T loops). Further hydrogen bonds mediate the characteristic L-shaped molecular structure. tRNAs have two regions of fundamental functional importance: the anti-codon, which is responsible for specific mRNA codon recognition, and the 3' end, to which the tRNAs corresponding amino acid is attached (by aminoacyl-tRNA synthetases). tRNAs cope with the degeneracy of the genetic code in two manners: having more than one tRNA (with a specific anti-codon) for a particular amino acid; and 'wobble' base-pairing, i.e. permitting non-standard base-pairing at the 3rd anti-codon position. The record is from RNAcentral.